AUUGAACGCUGGCGGCAGGCCUAACACAUGCCAGUCGAACGGUAACAGGAAGAAGCUUGCUUCUUUGCUGACGAGUGGCGGACGGGUGAGUAAUGUCUGGGAAACUGCCUGAUGGAGGGGGAUAACUACUGGAAACGGUAGCUAAUACCGCAUAACGUCGCAAGACCAAAAAGGGGGACCUUCGGGCCUCUUGCCAUCGGAUGUGCCCAGAUGGGAUUAGCUAGUAGGUGGGGUAACGGCUCACCUAGGCGACGAUCCCUAGCUGGUCUGAGAGGAUGACCAGCCGCACUGGAACUGAGACACGGUCCAGACUCCUACGGGAGGCAGCAGUGGGGAAUAUUGCACAAUGGGCGCAAGCCUGAUGCAGCCAUGCCGCGUGUAUGAAGAAGGCCUUCGGGUUGUAAAGUACUUUCAGCGGGGAGGAAGGGAGUAAAGUUAAUACCUUUGCUCAUUGACGUUACCCGCAGAAGAAGCACCGGCUAACUCCGUG
RNAcentral lists this ribosomal RNA (490 nucleotides) under uncultured bacterium. Its description in RNAcentral is "partial 16S ribosomal RNA". It matches the Rfam family "Bacterial small subunit ribosomal RNA", at positions 30 to 507 of the family's 1533-position model. The record is from RNAcentral.